This is a long non-coding RNA of Oreochromis aureus, 1430 nucleotides long. NCBI's taxonomy places the organism in Eukaryota, Metazoa, Chordata, Actinopteri, Cichliformes, Cichlidae. The record is from Ensembl.
AGUUCCUUUGCUUUUGCAAAGUUUUUACAAAUUCUGCAACUUUUCAGCUUUUUCUGCUAGUUUCAGCAGACAGCUUCAGCAUUACAGCAUCCACACUGCAUUUUCGCAGGAAAUGCAAAUUUUUCUAGUUAAUAUUAAAAUUAAUAAAUGACAGAUUUAGUGAUAUUUUCAUAAACACCUCCUUUCCUUUUUUUUGUUCUCCAUUUUCUUUAGUUCGUCUAUAAGAUUGCUAAACAAGGGGGAGGGUGCAUCCGGCCUCCUCGGCUGUAAUUGGUCCAGCCCAGAGUCGAUCAUGACCAAUUGGCCAAUCCAACACCUUUCAUUAUAUAUACCCUUCCUAAAAAAAAAAAAAAAAAAAAAAAAAAUCCAUCGGCCCAUAAAAACAAAAAAUCGCCAAUCGCCAGUCCAGCUAUGGCGGGGCUAUGGCCCUCUACACCCUCUAGCAGAGCAUUACAUGGGGAAACCUUUUGAAUACAAGCGGGCUGAUCCACACAGGUGUGCACACGGGUGUUCACUGUUCACAGACAUAAACUACACCUCUAUUGUUAUGCUGAGUGAACGGACUCUAUGGCAGAAUACACAGAAGCGCAGAAAAUGCAGGGAGUGCUCUUUAUUUACUGUGUCAAACUUAUUUACACGGGAUGAGAUAAUACUGAUGAAUAAACAGAGGGAAACCAGGGCAGGAGGCUGACACGCAUUCGGAGGGAAAGGGGUUACCCGCGCACGCAGGGUGGAUCUAUGAGAAAAAGAAAAAAGAAACUUUAGGGGGAGAUGCCAAACCACUGGUAAGAAACAGCAAUAAACAUGGGGAGAGUUGGAGAGCUCACUUGUCACACUGGCUGUACAGGCUCGGGCGAGGAGUCUCGGGAUGUGGGAGAAACGCUGUGAUUGAUCUCCGUAGUGAUCCCGGAAAUGUGGCUUCAAAAACAGCUGACAGGUAAGCGGGUGAUGGAUCCGGCUGAGGAUACAGGACAACAGGUAAGCAAACAAAAUCCAAGACAUAGGUUGUGUCAUGGUCCGACAGCCCUUGCCUGGCUGCCUGCCCGUGCGUUAUUGUGUGCAUGUUGCGCUCUUCCUUUCUCUCCCAUUUUCUCUCUCUCUCUCUCUCGUAACGGGGUUGUUUACCUCCGAGCGGUGACGAGCAUUCCCGAGAGUGUUCCCGCGCUGAGUCUGACCGCACCUGUUGUUGAUCGGAGCCGACCAGCUGUAACCAAUUAUCCGCCAUCUCCCGGGCUGCCUUCUUAACAGGGCGAUCGAGCUUCAGUCAGCGCUGGAUCAUUGUGUGAAGCACGGAGGGAAACGGAGAGAGAGAUCACGGGAGCUGGACCGCCUUUUGGGAUUUCUGUUUGGAAGGAGUCACUGCGUGUGUUUUCACUUCACGGCCAUGAGCACUGCUAGGAGGAGGAGGAGAAGGAGGAGACCACACCGGG